ACACGUAGGAGGCAAGCGUUAUCCGGAUUUAUUGGGCGUAAAGCGCACGCAGGCGGCCAAGUAAGUCGGGUGUGAAAGCCCCGGACUCAAUUCGGGGAGGUCAUUCGAUACUGCUUGGCUUGAGAGCGGGAGAGGGAAGCGGAAUUCUCGGUGUAGUGGUGAUAUGCGUAGAUAUCGAGAGGAACACCAGUGGCGAAGGCGGCUUCCUGGCCCGUUUCUGACGCUAAGGUGCGAAAGCGUGGGGAGCAAACGGACUUAGAUACUCCGGUAGUCCACGCCGUAAACGAUGGGUACUAGGUGUGGGGAACGUAAAGUUUUCCGUGCCACAGCUAACGCAAUAAGUACCCCGCCUGGGGACUACGGCCGCAAGGUUAAA
This 376-nucleotide ribosomal RNA is filed under the name uncultured bacterium. RNAcentral's name for it is "bacterial SSU rRNA". It matches the Rfam family "Bacterial small subunit ribosomal RNA", at positions 523 to 898 of the family's 1533-position model. The record is from RNAcentral.